RNAcentral lists this ribosomal RNA (509 nucleotides) under uncultured bacterium. RNAcentral's name for it is "bacterial SSU rRNA". It matches the Rfam family "Bacterial small subunit ribosomal RNA", at positions 15 to 518 of the family's 1533-position model. The record is from RNAcentral.
GAUCCUGGCUCAGGAUGAACGCUAGCGGCAGGCUUAACACAUGCAAGUCGAGGGGCAUCGGGAGUAGCAAUACUUGCCGGCGACCGGCGCAAGGGUGCGUAACGCGUGAGCAACAUGCCCGUAUCAGGGGGAUAAUCCAUGGAAACGUGGUCUAAUACCCCAUAGUAAUUAUGUAAGGCAUCUUAUAUAAUUUAAAGCUUUGGUGGAUACGGAUUGGCUCGCGUGACAUUAGCUGGAUGGUAAGGUAACGGCUUACCAUGGCUACGAUGUCUAGGGGUUCUGAGAGGAAGGUCCCCCACACUGGAACUGAGACACGGUCCAGACUCCUACGGGAGGCAGCAGUGAGGAAUAUUGGACAAUGGAUGGAAAUCUGAUCCAGCCAUGCCGCGUGCCAGGAAGACGGCCCUAUGGGUUGUAAACUGCUUUUGUAUGGGAGCAAUAAGGGCUACGUGUAGUCCGAUGAGAGUACCAUACGAAUAAGCACCGGCUAACUCCGUGCCAGCCGCUGC